Molecule: transfer RNA, 72 nt
Filed under: Glaucocystis nostochinearum
Lineage: Eukaryota; Glaucocystophyceae; Glaucocystales; Glaucocystaceae
Description: tRNA-Gln
Rfam family: tRNA
About the family: Transfer RNA (tRNA) molecules are approximately 80 nucleotides in length. Their secondary structure includes four short double-helical elements and three loops (D, anti-codon, and T loops).
Source: RNAcentral
UGGAGUAUAGCCAAGCGGAAAGGCAAUAGUUUUUGAUACUAUCAAUCAAAGGUUCGAAUCCUUUUACUCCAU